This 253-nucleotide ribosomal RNA is filed under the name uncultured bacterium. RNAcentral's name for it is "partial 16S ribosomal RNA". It matches the Rfam family "Archaeal small subunit ribosomal RNA", at positions 474 to 727 of the family's 1478-position model. The record is from RNAcentral.
UGCCAGCACCCCGAGUGGUCGGGACGUUUAUUGGGCCUAAAGCAUCCGUAGCCGGUUCUACAAGUCUUCCGUUAAAUCCAACUGCUUAACAGGUGGGCUGCGGAAGAUACUAUAGAGCUAGGAGGCGGGAGAGGCAAGCGGUACUCGAUGGGUAGGGGUAAAAUCCGUUGAUCCAUUGAAGACCACCAGUGGCGAAGGCGGCUUGCCAGAACGCGCUCGACGGUGAGGGAUGAAAGCUGGGGGAGCAAACCGG